UGGUGUGGGUGUGUGUGUUUCAAAAACAAAAGGUGUGUUCAACAAUGCCCAGGCAUCUGCACUCAAGGCUCUCUCUCUCUCUGCAGGGGUCGUUUGAAACCAAGGUUUCACUAUCAUGCAAACGGUAUGUACAGAUACCUGCCUAUCCCCCAUCAAAAAGUGUGACGGCGUCUCUUAAAAUGGUGAUUUUCGAUUCAUUAACACAUAUGCCUUUCAAAUCCUAAUUUAUCUCACCCUCCAGAGGAUGUGAAGGCUAAAAAGUCAACCAGCCCCCAGAAAGAAUACACCAUGUCUAGACCGACCCCCAGGGAUAAACAUUGAUAUUUCUAAUCAGCGCAUAUACUAACCGUGCCCCCACUCCGGUCUAUACAUUUACAUCGGACACCCUCCAAGGUGCUAACCCUGAGGAUGUAGGAAAUCAAAAGGGCCACGUCUUACUGUCUCGACACCCCUCCUGUUGUUUGAAAUCACUACCUUUGUAAUCUAAACCAAAAUAUACAGGGUGUUGCAAACAGGAUAUCGCCCGAAAAAACGUCACCCCCCAUGCCCUGUAAAUGCAUUCCGUAGUAUCUCUCCUUUUGAGACAAGACCGAGGAGCGAGUGUCCGAUCCACUAUGUUCGCACCGCUUUAGCGCAGCUACAAACCCACAGGCCAGCAACCCCGAAUAGUUAUCGGACUGAACAUUUAAAAGGAUCAUCUGUGAAUCCGUCCUAAUGGAGCUUUCUGAAGUUUGUAGGGUCUCCAACAUUUACGCAGCUGCUCAGAGGGAUAAAUGAUCUGGAACAGACAGCGUUAGACGGCGAUUCUCAGGAGCAAAUCGCAUGCAGCCAAACCCCGUCACAUUAUUGUAGACCUGACAUACAGCCAAGAAGAAUAACGGGGUCCAUGUGGACCCUGAACGGCUUCGGAAGAGCAGAUGACAGAUCCGAUGACACAGAUGCAAUUCUCCCGUUCUGUACGAACGUUUUUUCAAACACACCGAGAACAGAGGAUUUAAACGUCCGGUCAACUCCCCUGGGAACCUCCACCAGCUCGCUCCAUAUUCCUAACCCAAGCAAACAACGCACAACUCCGGCGCAAAUACAUUGCUCAGAAUCAACCCCUCCGGAAAAGUACGACAGGACAGGGAAUUUACGAGACGGCGCUCCAUGGACACGGCUCCAACGAGACAGGCCUGGCAGAAUCGGGAAUUCUUGGUGACAAAAGUCAAGGCCCCCCCCCCGGAUUCGGUCAGAACAGAGACUCCUCCCCGGCGUAUAAUGGCACCGAAUACCUCACACAUCUUAAGCGCGAGGAGGAUCCCGGCUCACCGAACAUUCCCAAUGAAACAACCAAAACGGAGGAUUUAAACCUUAUAAAUGACAUUUCCGAGGCAGACGACCGGUUAUUAUGGGAUGCGGCCAACCUUCUUGAUUCUGCCAAUUCUGUGGUGACAACAGACGGAUCUGAAAUAGAACAAG
Oncorhynchus gorbuscha (pink salmon) is the source of this 1461-nucleotide long non-coding RNA. RefSeq lists it as uncharacterized. The record is from RefSeq and is a predicted model, not a curated record. NCBI's taxonomy places the organism in Eukaryota, Metazoa, Chordata, Actinopteri, Salmoniformes, Salmonidae. The transcript has 5 exons.